Molecule: long non-coding RNA, 1252 nt
Organism: Lathyrus oleraceus (garden pea)
Lineage: Eukaryota; Viridiplantae; Streptophyta; Magnoliopsida; Fabales; Fabaceae
Exons: 2
Source: RefSeq, a predicted model, not a curated record
UCACAAUUUUCAACUUUUCUCUUUUACCAAUAUAUCAUCACAUCACAAUUGUACUUGGCUCUACAUUUCUCUCUCUAAUUUUCAACAGGGUUAGGAAACCUUCACUCUUUCUCUCUUUAUUUCUCAGCUCUUCAUUUCUUCUUCUCCAAAGGAUUUCUUCAUCUCCCUUUCUUACAAAAAAUGCUUCAUCCCUCUUUCUUCCAACUUCUUCUUUGAACAUAAAUCUCACCCCGUCUGUCCUGCAAACAAAAAUCAAAAUCAUGAAUCAAAGUGAAAUAAAGAAGGAAAAAAGGUACCAAUCAGAAUAGAGGAAACGACGGUAGAUCUGACAUUUUUGACGUUUUUAUGACGGUGUGCGAUUUUGCAGUGGUAGAUUUAUAUGUUGUCUUCCUUAGUAGAAAAUGUAUAUUUUUAUUUUGUGUUUGUGUUUUCCAUAUUUACCAAUGUUAUUUUCUUUGGUAAAAAUUGUAUUUGUUUCGGUUUGAUGUUUUGUGUUUGUGUUUAUCUUUGUGUUUGUGUUCAUCUUUGUGUUUGUGUUUGUAUUCAUGUUCAUCUUUGUGUUUGUGUGUGUUCAUCUUUGAAAUAUAUAUGCCUUAUUAUCAUAAAAAUGAGGUGUUAAGACAGUGAUUACAAAUGAAGAUGAAGGAAAUGAAGAGAUUGGGUUUUCAAGUUGUUCCAUUUAAAUUUUUUGAAAAAUGAAGAAAUUGUGUAGAUGGUUGAUUUUGAAGUGUGUUUGUUAAUUUUCAUGUUAUUACAAAUAAAGUUAUUUGUAUGUGUUUUAAUGUUAUUUCAUGUUAGUUUAAAUAAAGUUUUGUCCAAUAAAUAAUACUAUAAUAGCAUGACUAUUUUUAUACUUAUUUCUUUUGAUGCAAAAUAUAUUUGACUUUUGAGGGAUGAUGCUCAUCGGUGCAUAUUCCGAGAAUGGAUAGAUUUGUAAUAUGAAGGACAUUCUCUGAUGGACAACUGAGAAGUAAGAAAAGCUCAGAAGGUUUUAAUACACAAAACUAUCACGAUAAAGGUGGUUGAUACUCUCCUAGGUUUGUGGAUGGAUAUUGAAACCUGUCUAGCAUUGUAUUACAAAAACUCAGUUUGAUAAAACCAUUAAGCCAUUGAACAAAUUUCAAAUAUAGAAGAAAGCUUAAUAGAUCAUUGAACAGUUGUGAUGGUGUAGACACAAUGUAAAGUGUCCUAUUUUAUAUGCCAAUUUUGUGUAAAUACUCUAUACAAUUUUAAAGCAUGUAUUAUUGUAGCA